CGGGGGGGUCGGUGCGUGGGCGGGGCGGGAGCUCUAGGCGGUUAGGAGUCGGGGCUCAGAUGCGGGGGCGGGGCCGGAGCGAGGCCGGGUAUCACCCGGGAGUGGAGGAAGUGCGGGGGGUUCGCGGCGCGGGGAGGGUGAUCCCGGGAGGACUUGCGCGGCGCGUGGGGCGGGGCACAGAUGCUCCCCGGCCUGGCUCCGAGUAACUGCGAGCUGGAGGCGCGGCUGCUCUCUCGGGCGGACCUCAGCUCUGCGAACCCUGUGGCUGCCGGAGCACUGAGCGCCCUGCCCGGAGUCCCGCGGAGCCUGGCGAGGAGGGGUCGCUGCAUCCCGAGGGCCAGCCCUGAGCCGGGAGGUCAAACGGUGUAAACUUUGCUGGAAGGAACCUUACUCAGAGGGCCAAUCACCUGCUUCUCUAGAGUUCUCAAGCUCUCCUGUGAGCACCAGGUUGAGCUGCAGAAAGCCAGAACCAGCUCAGAAACUGAGAAAUGGACAUGAAGAUGCCCAGGUCUGCAGAUGGUUUCCAUUCUGAAAAGUGAUAGUCCCAAGGGGGACUGGCAUGCAGUCAUUCAUUCAACAAUUGUGCUCCUACUCUGUGAAGUAUUGGGGAUACAGUGCUGAGCACAGACAGACCUAGUCUCUGUCCUUUGCACCUUUCAGUGAAGGAUAGGAGGUAGACAUUGAUGCAACAAGCACCCGAGUAAAUGUAAGACCAUGCAGUGAUAAAGGCCGUGGAGGAAGGGCCCAUGCAGGGGCAGAAAACAGAGGAAGGGGCUGGUGGAGCAGCUCCUCUAGCUCAAGGCUGAGUGGUAUAAACUGUAGCUACUGCAUGAUCUGAACGUGUCUUAAGGAGGGUAUCCCCAAAGCGGGCUCAUUGGGAGUUACUGUGGAGCGCUAGUUUAUUGUAAUUGCCAUAUGUUUAUAAGUAAUGGAAUCCUAGAAUUAGAAGGAACUUCGGUCACCUUUUAAUUUAAUAUUUAUCUUUCUCAAUCCAGGAAACAUCUCUACAGCAUCCCUAACUGGGGGUUGAUCCAUUCAUUUCCAGACACAGAGAACAGAGUCACAUUCUGCUGUUUCCAUAUGUACCAUUUUAGUAAGACUUCUUGGGGCACAAGGCAGGAAGUUGGGGACAAUAUAUUUGUCUGCACCAAGGCAGCCUGAGAAGAGAGAAGUGAAUACUCCUGGGGUUAUUCUAUAUUAUUCACUUAAUAUUCUAAGUGAGUCCUCUAGGGGUACCUGAGACAUGGAGUAUGAAAGUACACAUUCACAAAAGUACCAGCUUUAAAACUAGAUUAUCUCUACUAUUCAAAAACACCAAGGAAAGGCCACACAAUGGAGACAAAGUGCAUCUGAGAUCUAGCAAAUUUCCCUGUUGGCCACAUACUGAUAAUGAUGUAUUAAAAUCAAUUCUAUACUGUGGGGUACUUAUUUGACAUUAAUAGGUACCAUGGUGGUUUAACAUAGUUGCUGCCCAGAGAAAACGCCGCACACUCACCUACACUAAAAUGAAGUCUGAGUCAGCUGCCUCCCCUCCGCCAUCCCUUCCAAAGCCAAUGGUUGAAAGUCACAGAAGUCCCUCUGCUGCCACCUAGUGACGACAAUGUGAAUACAACUACACAGCCUCCUGGGAAAGAAGUUUUGAACCACGUUUGCUUCUAAAGGAAGCCUGUAAUUACCUCUGAGUGCUCUAUUUUGGCUACAAUUUAAAAACAUAUAUAUUUUAAAACUCUAUAAACUCUUAUGCAUAUCCCUUUUUAAGAAUCUGACCUGUAAUGGAUGUAGCCUCACUUUCAAGAACCUAAAAGCUAUGCCCCCAAUUCAGGGAGUAGAACAGACAGGCUUAAGAACAGUGCCUAAAAAUGCCACUAAAUUUAUCUUUAAAAUGCCUGUGGUUCCUUAGCACUUGAAUUCCGUUAUGCCCCUGGGUAUAGUCACCUGGAUGUUAGGGGCUGUCAAAAUUCAGCCCUCAGUUGGUGAUCAGUAGGUUUUCCCUUUAAGUGGUUUCUGAAAGGAUUUUUUUUAAAAAUCUUGAAAUUCUCAUGUCUGGAUGAUGUUUCCAGUUUUGUGGAAGAAUAAAAGAAAAGGGACAUGAAAUUCUGGCUCCCUGGGGGCAGUGGCUGUGUCUUAUUAAUCUCUGUGCCCAUUGUACCAACACCGGUCAGUCACAGCAUGUACUCAACCAAUGCUGAUGAAUGCAGAGGGGCGAGGGGCUGGCACGCUCUUGACCCCUUAUAGGGGCUGCGUCGAUGGCCAGGGUUCAAUGGGAACUUUCUGGUACAGUCUUGCUCUGCCAAUCUUUCAAAUUAAGUGCAGCACAAUUGGAAGCCUCACAUUCUCAUAGACGGGUUGAGGAGGGCAUUAGGGGCAGAAAGGCUCACAUAAGGCCUGAGCGUGAGGUUUCCUGCCCAGCACUGCUGUGCCAUUGCAGCCCACCUUCUUCUCACCUUUCCUUCCACACCACGGCGCGGCAGGUGCAGAAACCGUGCUGGGAUUGAGGCCCUAGAGGCUGACUACAGGUCUUGGGGGCAAAACAUCUGGACACACAGCUGAAGAUGAGCCAAGUAUAUUAGUCAGGGUUCUCUAGAGAAACAGAACCAACAAGAUAGAGAGAUGCAGAGAGACAGAGGGACAGACAGACAGAUUUAAGUAACUGACCCAUAAAAUCUUGGAGGCUUGGCAAGUCCAAAAUCUGCAAGAUGGAAGUGGGCUGGCACAUUGGAGACUCAAGGAAGAGUUGCACGUUGAGUUCAAAGGCCGGCUGCUGGCAGAAUUCCUUUCUGCUCAGGUGAAGUCGGUCUCUGUUCUAUUAAGACCUUCAACUGAUUGGAUGAGGUCCACCCAUAUUAUGAAGGGUCAUUUGCUUUACUCAACAUCUACUCAUCUAAAUAUUAAUCUCAUUGAAAAAAAACCCCAGAAACAUCCAGAAUAGCAUUUGACCAAAUGUUUGGACAAUGCAGCCUAGCCACAUUAACACACAAAAUUAACUGUCACAGCAAGACACCAGGGAAGCAUUGGAAGAUGUUAGCGGCUGUCAUUGAAAUGGGUGCCGUCAGGUGGACGGCAGCCAUCCAUCGGGCAAGAGCGGGGCAGCUGGAAGGGCCCUCCCCUCCCGUUUGCUUUCUGCUCUUCACAGCUCACGGAUAGAGGAAUUUUCUCAGCACAUUUCCCAGGAGGAGUUUGGCACCACCAUUUCUUGAAAACAGAUGUCUGCAGGGAUGUGUGUGUGCCUGUGAAUAUGAAGUCCAGAGCCUGGGACUGAGAACAGCAAGGGGAACAGGUGGCCACAGGGGAGUUGCCAGAUUGCUGACUUAAGAUGUGCUCCCAGGGCUGCACUGGUGUCGGUCGUGAGAGCGAUCACGGUUUGUGCAACGUCUGAACUUUCUAUCAACUUAUGGUUUAAUCAAUUUGCUGUUUACUCCAGCUAUUUGCAACCUCUCCUCAGUUACUUGGUGUUCAGCAGUGUAAUAUAUCUUCAUGUGUGAAUAUAAAUAUACUAUUUAGUGGAAACUAAAAGGAAUUGUGGAGGAAGAAUUUUUUUGGAUAAUUUUAUGUUUUCAUAAUGUAAAAAUUAAAGAUAUUUGAAGAGUUGAGUAUGUCAGUUUUGGGGAUGCAAGAGAAUGACUUCGGGACUACCAUAAUAUUUAAAAUCAUCACUACUCUUUCUUUCCACCUAAGUCUCAUAGCAAAAGAGGAAAUUUACUUCAGUCUCUUUCUGUAGCAGAACAUUAUCGUGCUGUAUUCCUGUGUUCACUUAUCUGCGCUGGAUUGUGAGUCCUUACAGAGAGAAAUUGUUAUGUGCUAUGUUCCCAACACCUGCACAUUAUAGGUGGUCACUAAGUGCUUGAUGAAUAAAUGAAUGAGGGAAUAAUAUUGUUUAUUAUUUUUUGCUGUUAUUUAUAAUUGGGAGUGGGUAGGAUUUGGAUUAUGAAGACUCUGGGAAGCCUCAUAAGAACCUCAGACUCACUGGGCACGGUGGCUCACACCUGUAAUCCCAGCACUUUGGGAGGCCGAGGCAGGCGGAUCACGAGGUCGGGAGAUCGAGACCAUCCUGGCUAACACGGUGAAACCCGGUCUCCACUAAAAAUACAAAAAACUAGCCAGGUGUGGUGGCGGGCGCCUGUAGUCCCAGCUACUCCAGAGGCUGAGGCAGGAGAAUGGCCGUGAACCCAGGAGGCGGAGGUUGCAAUGAGCCGAGAUCGCACCACUGCACUCCAGCCUGGGCGACAGAGCAAGACUCCAUCUCAAAAAGAAAAACCUCAGACCAGACUCAACGUGUCCAAAAAAGAGCUCACCUUGUACCCCUAGAUCCUGAAGCGGCUUCCAGUAGCUCAACCUCCUCCCAUCCAGUUCCAUCUCUGCCAGGGAUCUUUUAAAAAUGCAAAUCUCAUUAUGUCUCUUUCCUGCCUCAAACCUCCCAGUGGUUCUCCAGUCUGUCAGGAGAGGGUAUAGACUGUGGCCUGGCCCGGGAAGUUCUUUGAGGUCAACCCCUGCCUACUCAUCUUGCUAACUCUUAUGGCUCUCUGACACUAGGCUUUUGCUCCAAUCAUAUAAGCAACUGUAUUUCCAUAAAAUUGCAAUGUUCUUCCCUACCUCCUCACUUAACUAAUUUUCACUUUACUGAUCAUUUCUUAUUUUACUAUCAGCGUCUCUUUCUCCUUAUUCUUCAGGGAACAUUUCUCUCCACCAUCCUGUGCCACACUGUGGGGGUGUCAGUAACACCCUCUGUCCUCUCCUGGCCAAAGGAAAGGGGUGUCAUUCAGCCCAGGCCCCUGGAUCCUCAUCUUGGGAUUUGGAAAUGUGACCGAAGUGACAUAAAAAAAAGACAUGAAGUGCGAGGAGCUCAUUCAGUCAGCUCUGCAGCUCCAGCUGGGUUACCUGUGAGUCCUUGCUAGCCAGAUCCCUUGAUUUGCCGUGACUCCUGCCUUUGCCAAGUCUGUCUUCAUAGAUUCUUUCAAAUGUGGUUCCAUCUUGCCUGAGUUCGUCAGAGCCAGAUUCUGUGCUGUAAUAAAAAACCCCAAAUCAACUCACCUCUCACCCUCCACAAUGCAGCUUCUGGAAGAUUCCAGAUGCCCCAGCCUGACUGAGAAUUCUCUCUCCUCUGCUCUCAAAGUCCCUUUGGGUGCUUCUACCAAAGCACUGACAGCGUGAUUCUGAUUUGAUCGCUGGUGUCUGAGAGCUGUGAACGUCUUGAUGGUUUUGGCGCCCAGCACCAUUCCUGCCUCAUAAUUGGCACGUGAUAAAGGCUUGUCGCAUUCCCUCAUUCAAAAUAAACAUAGAAGACAAUCCAGAGAUUGCAGCUUCACAGAAAUCACAGAAGGAAAUUUAUAUUUAUAGAGACGGCAUAUAAAAUUUUAAAACAAUUUUAAUGAAAAUCUUGAAAAUAGACAUUCUCUUCUUUAAACAACAUAAACUGAACAAACUCAGUCUGUUUUGGUGCCUCUGUGAGUACCCUCGGUUGCUCUGGGCUGCUGUGCGAUGCUGACCGGGACUUCCUCAGAGGCCUCAUCUUCUGCAUCCAGUGGACUUGCAAGCCACUUUACACUUCCUGGGUGAUAAGGUUUGGAUUUGUGUCCCCGCCCAAAUCUCACGUGGAAUGUCAUUCCUAAUGUUGGAAGAGGGGCCUGGUGGGAGGUGAUUGGAUCAUGGGGGCAGAAUUCCCUCUUGCAGUUCUCUUGGUAGUGAGUUCUCACAAGAUCUGGUUGUUUAAAAGUAUGUAGCACCUCCUGCUUUCGCUGUCUUCCUCCUGCUCCCGCCAUGUAAGACGUGGCCUCCUUUCCCUUCGCCUUCCGCCAUGAUUGAAAGUCUUCAGAGGCCUCCCCAG
This 5821-nucleotide long non-coding RNA is filed under the name Homo sapiens (human). RNAcentral's name for it is "HSALNT0100339". The record is from RNAcentral. Lineage: Eukaryota; Metazoa; Chordata; Mammalia; Primates; Hominidae.